AACGAACGCUGGCGGCAUGCCUAACACAUGCAAGUCGAACGAGACCUUCGGGUCUAGUGGCGCACGGGUGCGUAACGCGUGGGAACCUGCCCUUAGGUUCGGAAUAACUCCCCGAAAGGGGUGCUAAUACCGGAUAAUGUCUUCGGACCAAAGAUUUAUCGCCUUUGGAUGGGCCCGCGUUGGAUUAGCUAGUUGGUAGGGUAAAAGCCUACCAAGGCGACGAUCCAUAGCUGGUCUGAGAGGAUGAUCAGCCACACUGGGACUGGGACACGGCCCAGACUCCGACGGGAGGCAGCAGUGGGGAAUAUUGGACAGGGGGCGAAAGCCUGAACCAGCAAUGCCGGGUGAGGGAUGAAGGCCUUAGGGUUGAAAAGCUCUUUUACCCGGGAUGAUAAUGACAGAACGGGGAGAAAAAGCCCCGGCUAACCCCG
RNAcentral lists this ribosomal RNA (431 nucleotides) under uncultured bacterium. RNAcentral describes it as "partial 16S ribosomal RNA". It matches the Rfam family "Bacterial small subunit ribosomal RNA", at positions 29 to 505 of the family's 1533-position model. The record is from RNAcentral.